RNAcentral lists this ribosomal RNA (253 nucleotides) under uncultured Eubacteriales bacterium. RNAcentral's name for it is "uncultured Clostridiales bacterium partial 16S ribosomal RNA". It matches the Rfam family "Bacterial small subunit ribosomal RNA", at positions 524 to 776 of the family's 1533-position model. Lineage: Bacteria; Bacillati; Bacillota; Clostridia; Eubacteriales. The record is from RNAcentral.
UACGGAGGGGGCAAGCGUUAUCCGGAUUUACUGGGUGUAAAGGGAGCGCAGGCGGUAUGGCAAGUCAGAUGUGAAAACCCAGGGCCCAACCCUGGGACUGCAUUUGAAACUGCCAUACUGGAGUGCCGGAGAGGUAAGUGGAAUUCCUAGUGUAGCGGUGAAAUGCGUAGAUAUUAGGAGGAACACCAGUGGCGAAGGCGAUUUGCUGGGCCAUCACUGACGCUGAGGUACGAAAGCGUGGGGAGCAAAUAGG